GGGAGGCAGCAGUGGGGAAUUUUGCGCAAUGGGCGAAAGCCUGACGCAGCAACGCCGCGUGCGGGAUGAAGGCCUUCGGGUUGUAAACCGCUUUCAGCAGGGACGAAAUUGACGGUACCUGCAGAAGAAGCCCCGGCUAAAUACGUGCCAGCAGCCGCGGUAAUACGUAUGGGGCAAGCGUUAUCCGGAUUCAUUGGGCGUAAAGAGCGCGUAGGUGGCUUGUUAAGCGAGAUGUGAAAACCGGGGGCUCAACCCGCGGCCUGCAUCUCGAACUGGCAGGCUUGAGUCUGGUAGAGGAGUGUGGAAUUCCUAGUGUAGCGGUGAAAUGCGCAGAUAUUAGGAGGAACACCAGUGGCGAAGGCGGCACUCUGGGCCACGACUGACACUGAGGCGCGAAAGCUAGGGGAGCAAACAGGAUUAGAUACCCGCGUAGUCCA
RNAcentral lists this ribosomal RNA (437 nucleotides) under uncultured bacterium. Its description in RNAcentral is "bacterial SSU rRNA". It matches the Rfam family "Bacterial small subunit ribosomal RNA", at positions 343 to 797 of the family's 1533-position model. The record is from RNAcentral.